UUUAGCGCGUUUGAUCGCACCGAAAGCAAGCGCAGCGCAGCAUGUCGCCGCCACGCCGCCUGCCCGGGUGUGUUUUGCUUCGUUGUGCCCGAGGCGCUGAGGAUCGCCCCAUGACAGCGGCACGGUGCCCGGUCUGGAGGCAGCUUUCUUCCUCAGAUUCCCGCUAAAAGAGGAACCGGCCAGAAGACAUCCUGCAACUUCACAAGAGACUUGAGCUGUUGGAAGCCCAUCUCAGGAAGCUGAAGACAGAAGGCAGGGGACAGCUUGGACUGGAUCUUCUAUUCAAUGACCAUGAUAUCCAAAAUAACAGGCAAUGUAGCUAGCUCUGGAUUUUUACAUGAUGAUACGUAACUUGGUUAGGAAUAACACCAUUGUGGAAGAACUUGCUUUCAAUAUACCUCAUAUAUGUCAUUUAUUAAAGAGUUAUCUUUAUUUUGAUGUAAAUGUAACAACAAUCUUUACUUUUCAGUCUUCAUAGAUUGUUUUAGCCCGUUAAUGAAAUUU
Molecule: long non-coding RNA, 504 nt
Organism: Paramormyrops kingsleyae
Lineage: Eukaryota; Metazoa; Chordata; Actinopteri; Osteoglossiformes; Mormyridae
Source: RefSeq, a predicted model, not a curated record